UCUGCAAAUCAUGCGAGUUGGUGCAAGGUUAGUUAAAAUCCAAAGACAUAUCAUUCACCUCUAUGAUGUUCUUGAUCUUAGCUAUAUUGUCCUCCAAAAGUUUGUUUCCUUCACUAAGCGACUUAGUAUUUUUUUUGUAAGUAUUGAAUUUGGUCAAUAUUUUGACAAGAUGACCUCCGUUAGUUAUUUCAUCGAUUUCGUUGAGUCUGAAAAGUCAUAUUAAAUUGGGUCGCAUAGUUUGUUUGCGUCGAUGAAAUUCUGAACGAUUUUUGAGCCACCAUCGUGGGAUUUCUCACUUUUAGUGAACUACUGAUGUAGUGUUGCUGGUGCAACACUGUUCCCUUCUUCGCGUUCGCAAAGAGUAAACUUCGUGGUCUCCGCGUUCACGAGUCUCUUACUGCAUUCAAAGGGUUAGCUCCCUAGGCCUUUACGUUCGUGUUCUUCUCGUCGCGUUUGCAAAUGGUUAAUUCCUUGACAGUAAUAAGAAUUUAUACUCGUUUUAGGAAUGCAUUUGUUCAUUUUAAGACUUAGUAUUUUGGCGAUUUGGAGAGAAAUUAUUGACAGAUUUGCGUGAUUCUUGUUGAGUUGUGUUGGGGAAUCGCAUGGACACGUUCCGAGGUGGUUGAAUCUUUAACUAACCUUGGUAAUUUCCAUAAAUUUCUCUUUGAUUCAGCUUUUUGAUCCUUGUUGAGUUAAUUUUUGGAGGGACUGUUUUGGCUCAAUGGUGGCUCGGAUUGUACCCAUUUUCGGGGCACAACUUUCUUGAGCAGUUUGGGACCUCCUAACGAAGUCAAUUUUAUGACUCUGUGUGGGGGUUCCACAGUUGCGUUUUUGGGUUUGUAUUUGCAAGUUCAAAUUAUCAAUAUUAAUAUGGAUAUUGUUGUGCUUGUUUUUGCGUUCCCAUCGAGUUGUUGAUAGCUUGAAAACAUUUCGAGGCUCUUCGAAAGGGAAAAACACCAGAGUAGUCAUUCGUGUGCGAUUUCGGUCUAGAGGUAGGUUAUGAUUUCUCUUUUUUAGACUUUUCUUAGCUUGAUUAUGUAUGUUUUGAAUAGUUGAUAGUUAUAAAUGCUUUAGGAUUAGUUAGUAGGUGUAUUUUACCUUUAGUGAGAUUUAUUUGUCAUUUCAGAUUAUUUAGUUUAGUAUUUUAGUCGAUAAGUCUUAGUUUAGGUUGUGUCUUGGAUUGAUUGUGGUUUAGAUCCUUAGAAUGCUCUUAGGUAGUCUGGAAAUUAGUUGGUAUGCCCAUUGAUUGCUUGUUUAUUUUUUUUGUGUGUGUGUGUCUUUUUUGAGUUAUGUUUCGAGUUUAUCGCUUUAUUGAUUGAACUGUUGGGACUGAGUCCUUGGGCUUGGACUAGCUAGAGUUCCAAAUUAGUACGACUAUCUUAUGACGAGUGUCUACCCGGUUGUGUGUUGUAUGAAUUGAUCUGUGAGAAUGUUUGGGUUGUGGUGGCAUGAAAUCAUGUUCAUGGCAUAUUGAUAACAUAAUUGCAUUUGAUUUUAGAAAGAAAAGAGGUUCUUGAAUACUUACUAUAUUUUCUACUGAAUUUAGAUUCGAGGGAGCAGGAUUAUUGAUUUUCAUUGAUUUUACUGAUAGAGAGAAAAUGUAUCAUUUUUGUCUUAUUAGACAUAUGUUCAUAAGCUCCAACAGCCUGCAGAUUGAAUUUCGUAUUUUUGUUACUAUUAUUACAUUUGUAGUUGAGUUGAGGCGGGUUCUGUAGUUAUCUUGGGGGUCCACAGAAUAGCCGAUGAGAUAAUUUCGAUACCUUUUUACUUUAAACAUGCAUUGGCACAUGUGCAUAUCAUUUCAUUGUUUGAUUGAUUGUCGUGUGGUAAAGUUGUUGUUGCCUUCCGUGCCGAUAGUUUUGGUUACUUUUAGCCUUAUUACCAGACUCCUGUUAGAACUAUCAUGUUGCUUAUUAUAUAUAUAUUAUCUUUCUGAGCUCGACCAGUCUGUCAUGUCUACUGAGUAUCCCGUAUUUUGAUACUCAUAUUACACUUUUGCUUCUUUUUCUGAUGCAGAUCUUAGUACGAGCCACCCCAAGUGAGCAUUAGAUCUCCCUUGGCUGUCACAGAUAUGGAUCGUGCUGAGCUCUUAGCGUUCAGAGACUUUUUGCUUUCCCUCUUUUGCACUGACUUGUAUUAUGUAUCUUGAUUGGUCAGUUCUUUUGUAUAUAUAGCUUUUCUGUACUUAGUAGCUUCUGUAUCAGUGACAUUAGGUCUCGUAUUAGUUUUCCUUCUUGGUCACUUUUGGGCUUCUUUUGUAUAUUUUGUAUCAUACUUACAGAUCUAUACUAUGGCAUGUUUCCAUAUAUAAUCCAUGUUUCCGUUUAUUCUUA
This 2333-nucleotide long non-coding RNA is filed under the name Solanum tuberosum (potato). Its description in RNAcentral is "long non-coding RNA (STUB_LNC008928)". Lineage: Eukaryota; Viridiplantae; Streptophyta; Magnoliopsida; Solanales; Solanaceae. The record is from RNAcentral.